RNAcentral lists this ribosomal RNA (491 nucleotides) under Archaeogomphus infans. Its description in RNAcentral is "eukaryotic LSU rRNA". The record is from RNAcentral. Lineage: Eukaryota; Metazoa; Arthropoda; Insecta; Odonata; Gomphidae.
UUUGGGAGUAAACGGGUGGUACCCGAAAGUUCGAAAGGGGAGAUUCAAGUCUCGCCGCGCUGGGCAGCGGACGCGAGAAGAGAUGGCAGUUUCGCGAUCAAGGGGUAACAGCCUUGUUCCGGGAUUGUCACUCAGCGGUCGCUGUUCUCCCAGUGUCGGAGUGACGCACUUCUCCCCGAGUAGGACGUCGCGACCCGUCGAGUGCCGGUCUAAGUUUGCGGGAGGAGUCUAUGUAGUCUGUUCUCUGAGCCGAUUGCGUAUGACCUCGUAAAUACUGGCCGGGUGCUCGACGGUACGAAGCUUGGAAGGAGUCGACGCGCCAAAAUAAUAUUUUGGCGUCCGGCCCUCCGCAAGCGCCUGCGGGAGACCGGACUACGGGCCUGGCCCGAUUUCGGUCCCAUUCGCGGGGCUGUUUGCGCUAAGGAGGUGUCCUCGGACGGCGUUAGAUUCUCCAGUCAGCGACGCUUCAGCUUGGAUGGUCUACCCGACCC